GAUGAACGCUGGCGGCGUGCCUAAUACAUGCAAGUCGAGCGAACAGACCAGUAGCUUCCUCCUCUGACUUUAUCGUCGGACGGGUUAUUCACUCCUCUAUAACCUACCUCUAAGACUCUGAUAACUUUGCGAAACCCGAGCUAUUACCGGAUAAUAUAUUGAACCACAUUGUUCACUCGUUAAAUACGGUUUUUCUUUCACUUAUAGCUUGCUCCGCGCCGCAUUCGCAAGUUGGUAAGGUAGCGGCUUACCAAGGCAACGAUGCGUAGCCGACCUGAGAGGGUGAACGGCCAGACGGGAACUGAGAAACGGUACAGACUCCGACGGGAGGAAGCAGUAGGGAAUCUUACGCAAUGGGCGAAAGCGUGACGGAGCAAAGCCGCGUGAGUGAUGAAGGUCUUCGGAUCGUAAAACGCUGUUAGUAGGGAAGAAGAAAUGUGUAAGUAACUAGGAACGUAUUGACGGUACCAAAACAGAAAGCCACGGCUAACUACGUG
This 497-nucleotide ribosomal RNA is filed under the name uncultured bacterium. RNAcentral describes it as "partial 16S ribosomal RNA". It matches the Rfam family "Bacterial small subunit ribosomal RNA", at positions 28 to 507 of the family's 1533-position model. The record is from RNAcentral.